AUUGAACGCUGGCGGCAGGCCUAACACAUGCAAGUCGAACGGUAGCACAGACAGCCUGCUCUCGGGUGAAGCGCGGCGGACGGGGGAGUAAUGUCUGGGGCACUGCCCGAUGGAGAGGGAUACCUACUGGUAAUGGUAGCUAAUACUCCAUUACGUCCCAAGUCCAUAGUGGGGACCCUCCGGGCCGCACAUCAUCGGAAUUCCUUGGAGGGGAUUAGCUAGUAGGUGGGGUAAUGGCUCACCUAGGCGACGAUCAAUAGCUGGCCUGAGAGGAUGACCAGCCACACUGGAACUGAGACACGGUCCAGACUCCUACGGGAGGCAGCAGUGGGGAAUAUUGCACAAUGGGCGCAAGCCUGAUGCAGCCAUGCCGCGUGUAUGAUGAAGGCCUUCGGGUUGUAAAGUACUUUCAGCGGGGAGGAAGGCGGUGAAGUUAAUAACUUCACCGAUUGACGGUACCCGCAGAAGAAGCACCGGCUAACUCCGUGCCAGCCGCCGCCGUAA
RNAcentral lists this ribosomal RNA (504 nucleotides) under uncultured bacterium. RNAcentral describes it as "partial 16S ribosomal RNA". It matches the Rfam family "Bacterial small subunit ribosomal RNA", at positions 30 to 523 of the family's 1533-position model. The record is from RNAcentral.